RNAcentral lists this ribosomal RNA (245 nucleotides) under uncultured bacterium. RNAcentral describes it as "partial 16S ribosomal RNA". It matches the Rfam family "Bacterial small subunit ribosomal RNA", at positions 57 to 305 of the family's 1533-position model. The record is from RNAcentral.
GCAAGUCGAACGGUAACAUGACUAGCUUGCUCGUUGAUGACGAGUGGCGGACGGGUGAGUAAUACUUAGGAAUUUGCCUUUUGGUGGGGGAUAACUAUUGGAAACGAUAGCUAAUACCGCAUGUUACCUUCGGGUCAAAGUGGGCUUUUAGCUCACGCUAAAAGAGAAGCCUGAGCGAGAUUAGCUUGUUGGUGAGGUAAUGGCUUACCAAGGCAACGAUCGCUAGCUGUUCUGAGAGGAAGAUC